CCUACGGGAGGCAGCAGUGAGGAAUAUUGGUCAAUGGGGGAAACCCUGAAGCAGCAACGCCGCGUGAGGGAUGAAGUUUUUAGGAUUGUAAACUCCUUUUGUUAGAGAAGAUAAUGAGGGCAUUUAACGAAUAACCACCGCCUAAUUCCGUGCCAGCAGCCGCGGUAAUCCGGAGGGUGCGAGCGUUAAUCGGAGUUACUGGGCGUAAAGCGUUCGUAGGCGGCAGGGCAAGUCAGGGGUGAAAUCCCCGCGCUCAACGUGGGACCUGCCUUUGAAACUGGCAAACUGGAGUGUAUGAGAGGUAAGUGGAAUUCCAGGUGUAGGAGUGAAAUGCGUAGAUAUCAGGAGGAACAUCAGUGGCGAAGGCGACUAUCUGG
RNAcentral lists this ribosomal RNA (377 nucleotides) under uncultured bacterium. RNAcentral's name for it is "partial 16S ribosomal RNA". It matches the Rfam family "Bacterial small subunit ribosomal RNA", at positions 338 to 732 of the family's 1533-position model. The record is from RNAcentral.